This 47-nucleotide non-coding RNA is filed under the name unclassified sequences. RNAcentral also lists the same sequence under 1 other name. The record is from RNAcentral.
AACGUUCAUCCCGAAAGGGACGCAAGUAAGCCGACACGGAACGGAUU